UACGUAGGCAGCGAGCGUUGUUCGGAGUUACUGGGCGUAAAGGGCGCGUAGGCGGGAUGGCAAGUCGGUCGUGAAAUCCCUCGGCUCAACCGAGGAACGUCGAUCGAUACUGCUGUUCUUGAGGAUUGCAGAGGAGACUGGAAUUCCCGGUGUAGCGGUGAAAUGUGUAGAGAUCGGGAGGAACACCGGUGGCGAAGGCGGGUCUCUGGGCAAUUCCUGACGCUGAGGCGCGAAAGCGUGGGGAGCAAACGGG
RNAcentral lists this ribosomal RNA (253 nucleotides) under uncultured bacterium. RNAcentral's name for it is "partial 16S ribosomal RNA". It matches the Rfam family "Bacterial small subunit ribosomal RNA", at positions 524 to 776 of the family's 1533-position model. The record is from RNAcentral.